Molecule: non-coding RNA, 5425 nt
Organism: Oryza sativa Japonica Group (Japanese rice)
Lineage: Eukaryota; Viridiplantae; Streptophyta; Magnoliopsida; Poales; Poaceae
Source: RefSeq, a predicted model, not a curated record
CAAAAAAACCCGAGGUGGAGGAGGCGGCUGCGGCGGCCGCGCGAGGUGGUGGCGGCGGCUGCGGUGCGUGCGCGAGGUGGAGGAGGCGGCUCCGGCGGCCGCGCGAGGUGGAGGCGGCGGCUCCGGCGGCCCCGCGAGGUGUAGGAGACGGCUCCGUCGGCCACGCGAGGUGUAGGAGACGGCUCCGGUGGCCCAUCCGGCUGCAUCAGGACCAGCAUCGUGAGUCCAGUGAGAUCCAUUGGUAGUGGUUGCGGCUAGUUCGGAGAUCCAUCUGCAGCGGCUGCAGCAAGCUCAGGCAAGGAGAAGCAUCCUGUUUCACAGCUACAUCGACGGGUUCACGAUCCCUUUUCUAGGACUUUAGGAUAUGGAUAAGAGUUGGAUGAAUUUGCCUGAUAGGUUCUCACAAGGUUAUAUAGCCGGUGUGAAUGCAUUUACCGAAUUUUCCUGUCAGCAAAAUAGAGACAAGGAUGCACUGCUUUGUCCUUGCGAAAGGUGUAUGAAUAUAAGCCAAAAACCUAUCAAUGAAGUCCGAACUCAUCUAGUAUUAUAUGGCAUACAAGUUUCAUACAAGCAUUGGGUUUUUCAUGGUGAACAAGUGGACCUAGAUAUUGAUCCAGUUGAUGAGCCUAUCAAUGAUGAAGAUGAUGAGGAUUUUGAUGGUCUGGACAUGAUUCAAGAUCUGUUAGGAGACAUCCAUAGAGGUACAGCUGGGAUUCAACAGCAAGACCAAGCAGGUAGUGGAAGUAUUGGUGACCAAGCAGGUAGUGGAAAUAUUGGUGCUGAACCUAAUGAAGAAGCAAACAGAUUUGACCGUCUGUUAACAAGUGCACAACGCGAGCUAUACCCAGGCUGCAAAAGUCACUCUAGAUUAUCAUUUCUGUUGAAGCUUGUCCACCUAAAAGAUUUGAAUCAUUAGAGCAACAAAUCAUUCGAGAUGUUGCUCAAACUAAUGAAGGAGGCUUUGCCAUCAGGAGAUUCACUUCCAGCCACAUAUUAUGAAGCAAAAAAGAUGCUGAGAGACCUAGGACUAGGUUAUGAAAGUAUACAUGCAUGUGUUAAUGAUUGUGUGUUGUUCAGGAAUGAAUUGGAAGAAAAUGAUGAGUGUCCAGUUUGCAAGGAAUCAAGGUGGAAGGAACAUAAAGGGAAGAUCAAGCGAGUACCCCGAAAGGUUCUGCGGUACUUUCCUUUGAUACCAAGAUUACAACGAUUAUUCAUGAAUAAGGAAAUAGCUUCAGAUUUGCGAUAUCAUAGUGAUAAGCGCGUAGUUGAAGAAAAUGUGUUGAGGCAUCCAUCCGAUGGUGAAGCUUGGAAAGACUUGGAUAAAAGGUACCCAUGGCUUGCACAAGAACCUCACCAUUUGCGCUUAGGACUUGCUACAGAUGGCUUCAACCCAUUUGGAACUAUGAGUAGCUCUUAUAGUGUAUGGCCUGUUAUUAUAGUUGUGUAUAACUUACCGCCAUGGAAAAGUAUGAAGGAACCAUUCAUGUUGAUGCCUUUAUUGAUACCUGGGAAGAAAACACCUGGAAGAGAUAUUGAUGUUUACUUGAGGCCACUAGUUGAAGAAUUGAAGCUAUUGUUUAACAUUGGAGUGGUUACUUAUGAUGCUUCUAAAGGAGACACUUUUAAUAUGCGUGCAGUAGUGCUAUGGACAAUUAAUGACCUUCCAGCAUUAGGCACACUAUUCGGAUAUGCUACUAUGGGUUAUAAAGCAUGCCCAAUUUGCUUGGAUGAGACAUAUUCAGAGUCAUUUAGAAGCAAAAUUGGUUUCUUGGGUCAUAGGAGGUACCUGCCUAUUCAUCAUAGGUGGCGAAAGAGCAAGGAUUUUAAUGGUAAGAAUGAGGAAGCCCUGAAACCAAAGCUAAUGUCAGGAAGUCAAAUAUUUAUAUUGCUGCAAAAUUUAGACCAUCUAUAGGGCUUCAAGUAUGGAAAACAUCCUGGAAACAAGAAAAGGAAAGCUUCACAGAAGGGUAUGGAAAUCCCUGGGAAGAAUUUCACCAAGCAAAGCAUUUUGUUUGAACUACCGUAUUGGAAGGAUCUUAAACUACCCCAUAAUCUUGAUGUCAUGCAUAUUGAAAAGAACAUUUGCGACAGUUUAUUAGGAACUUUAUUAAACAUAGAUGACAAGACAAAAGAUACACUUAAGGCCCGCAUGGACUUAGAAGAUAUGAAUAUCCGAAAAGAGUUGCACUUGCAACAUAGGGGUAGUAGUAUAGUUAAGCCUCAUGCAUGUUACACACUAUCCCGAGACGAGAAGCAUGAGUUCCUUAAAUUCAUAGAAUCAGUUUGCUUUCCUGAUGGUUUUGCUACAAAUAUAUCUAAUGGUGUGAACUAUAAAGAGGGCAAGAUAGCCGGGCUAAAGAGCCAUGACCUUCACAUACUUCUCCAAAGAAUACUUCUAAUUGGAAUGCGUGGGUUUUUACAUGAAGAUUUCUAUCAAGUACUAUUGCAGCUGGGUAGUUUUUUUCGCCAACUAUGCUCAAAGACAUUAAAGCUUGAUGUGCUAGAGAAGUUGGAGAAACAAAUAGUCAUUGUACUGUGCAAACUAGAAAUGAUUCUUCCACCUGCAUUCUUUGAUGUCAUCGUGCACUUGGCUGUCCAUCUACCUGAACAAGCAAGGCUUGGAGGUCCUGUACAAUAUAGAUGGAUGUUCUUUGUUGAAAGGUUCCUUGGUUCUUUGAAAGGAAUGAUGAGCAAUAGGGCUCGUCCAGAGGGUUCUAUUGCAGAAUCAUAUAUAAUGAAAGAGUGUUCAACUUUUUUCUCGAUGUAUCUCCAUGGAAUUGAGACAAGGUUCAACAGAGCAGAGCGCAACUAUGAUGGAGAGAGGCCACCUCUUGGGCUCUACUCAGUAUUUUCUACUAGAUUCAGGGCAUUUGGCCAUAAAGAUUGUGUGAUCUUAACACAGGAUCAAUAUGACUCCUUGUGUUGGUAUGUGCUCAAUAACUGUGAAGAACUGCAACAGUAUAUAUAUGAACAUGAGGAUGCCUUAGUAGCAGAAGGUAUAAGAAAUGUUCCAAAUAGGCAGUGUAAAGAGUUUGCCAAUUAGUUUCGCCAAAAAGUAAGUCCAUAUAGUUUAUUACAUAUAUAAGAGUAAGCCUUUUCACUAGCUAACUUCUGUUGUUUGUUGCAAAUAGGUGAUAGAUUUACGAAACCAAGGAUCAUCUCAAGUAUCUGAUUGUUUGUAUGCAUUAGCUAUUGGUCCCCAUAAAAAAGUAGACAUAUAUUCUGGUUGCAUCGUUGGUGGAAUCAGAUUUUUGACAAAGAAGCGUGAAGAGGGUCGAAAAACUCAGAACAGUGGAGUAUGUGUUGAGGGGCCACAUAAGGGAAAAUUGAUAACAUAUUAUGGUAUUCUUACAGAUGUAUAUGUCUUGAGUUAUCCCAAUGAGCGACAGGUUGUUUUAUUCAAGUGUGAAUGGUAUGACCUUGAGAGAAACAAGCCCGUGAGGAUUGACAAUGACUUUGGUAGCAUUAACUUGGGAAAGAAAUGGUAUAUAGAUGACUCUUUUGUGCUAGCUAGUCAAGUGAAUCAGGUCUUUUAUGUAGCUGAUACAAAACUAAAAGGUAAUUGGCAUGUAGUCCAAAAAGUCAGCCAUCGCCAUCUAUUUGACCAAGAGAUUUGGAGCUCGACAAAUGAAAGUGACAUUGAUAUUAAUAUUAGUGAUGAUAUUGCAUUUCAAGAGGAGGGGGGUGAUGUUCUACUGGAUGAAACUUUUGAAGCUAUCAUGUUGCAUCGAGAUGAUGUUAGGCCAGAAGUAGUGACUGAUCCAAAAGAGCUAGCAGCUUUGAAAGAACAGCCUAUUUCUCGAAAUGAGUAUGAGGAGGAAGCUGAGUAGAGAUUCUUUUAGAUAGAUGGCACCAGGGCAAAAAACUCGACAGCUUCGCAACUUAGCACAUGCUCAAGAUCGGUGUUCUAAAAGAUCUGCUGGAACUUCAUCGGCAACAUCUGUGAGGAAAGUUCGGGGAAUCAAUAAAGGGAAAGGCUUGGAUCGACUAAUAAAAAAAACAGGAGGCAAACCAAUCAAGUUAAAUAUUUCAGUUGAGAGAAGGCCUGUUGGUGAAAACAAUGAGUUGUUUUCUUGGGAAAUUGGAAUUAUUACUCGCUACCAUGCACCUAUCCAGUGUAUUGGUUGGCAAAAUAUGACUGAAGUUGACAAGGAAGCACUACAUACACUACUAAAGCUUAAAUUCGAUCUUGAUCUCAAUGAAGAAAAUGUAAAAGGUUGUGUGGAGUUGAUGUUUUCUUCUAGUUACAAAAGUUUCCGCCAUAGAUUCUAUGAGCACUAUGUGAAGCAUGGAGGUGGAGAGAACGCACGAAUGAAUCCUCACAAAGCACUUGAAGACCGUCUUGCUGACUGGUUCUGGUUGUGUGAUCAUUUUGAGACAGAAGAGUUUCAGAAACGAUCAACAAUAGGAAAGGACAACCGUUCAAAUUUGCCAUACAUGCAUUGGAAGGGAACAAAAUCAUUUGUAGCACUCCAACAUGAACUUGGAUGUGGUGAUAUAACAUUGUACAAAGAAUGUUAUAGUAAUGAUAAAGGAUGGGCUUCAAGUGAUGCUAGAGAAAAGCAUGAUCAAAUGGUAAGGAUGCAAGAAGAAUCCAUGCAACAGGAUGAAAUACCUUUGACAGAGCCGCAAAUAUGUGAGAAGGUGCUCGGGAAGGCAUAUGGGUAUAUUAGAGGGAGAGGUCAUGGCCCAAAACCUAAUAGAAGAGCUACAUCAACUUCAACAAGGACCUAUCAACAGAUGGAAGAAGAGUUGGCUUCUACAAAACAAACUGUUGCAGUACAGCAAAACCAACUUGCUGUACAACAAAACCAGCUUGAAUCUCAACAAAAACAACUUGAUUGGUUGCACAGUGUUGUGUCUAAACUUGCUGGUAUCCCAACUCCUUGUAUGGAUGCUAAUGGUACAUCAGUGCCGGCUUACACAGCUACAACCUCAAAUGAUGGAUCUACUUUUGUUAAAUUUAUUUGAUAGAUUCACUGGUUUCGGAUGGAAUCUCAAGGAGAUCAUGCACCUGAAGAUCUUUUGCUUCUGUUAUGUCCCUUUCUUAAAACUCCACUGUUAUCACUUGGUAGUGCCCUUCAACAUAUUGCCUGAUUCCACUACUAUAGGAAAAAUGGACCUGACAACAUGGCGACACUGCGAUAUCAAAUACCAUGUCAAGUUGAAGCCUUACAUUGAACAAACAAUGGCUUAUUAAUUACUGUAAAUGCCAUGAAUGUAUUAAAAUGUCAAAAGAUUCACAUCUAAAUAGGCUACUGCCUUGAAUCACAACCAUAGCCUUUGCCUUUGGAUAUAUUUGUUGAUUUAAAUGUAAUUAUAUUUGACAUAUGGAUUUUUUCCCUGGAUGAUCUUAUUUGACAUAUGGAUUAUUGUAAUUGUAUUUUGCUAGAUCUAACUACUUCUGUAGUCAAUGUUGUGGAUG